Transfer RNA from Auxenochlorella protothecoides, 74 nucleotides. It matches the Rfam family "tRNA". Rfam says of the family: Transfer RNA (tRNA) molecules are approximately 80 nucleotides in length. Their secondary structure includes four short double-helical elements and three loops (D, anti-codon, and T loops). NCBI's taxonomy places the organism in Eukaryota, Viridiplantae, Chlorophyta, Trebouxiophyceae, Chlorellales, Chlorellaceae. The record is from Rfam.
GGGCAAAUAGCUCAGUUGGUUAGAGUACACGUCUGAUAAACGUGAGGUCAGGGGUUCAAGUCCCUUUUUGCCCA